RNAcentral lists this ribosomal RNA (468 nucleotides) under uncultured bacterium. Its description in RNAcentral is "partial 16S ribosomal RNA". It matches the Rfam family "Bacterial small subunit ribosomal RNA", at positions 28 to 507 of the family's 1533-position model. The record is from RNAcentral.
GACGAACGCUGGCGGCGUGCUUAACACAUGCAAGUCGAACGGAAAGGCCCUGCUUUUGUGGGGUGCUCGAGUGGCGAACGGGUGAGUAACACGUGAGUAACCUGCCCUUGACUUUGGGAUAACUUCAGGAAACUGGGGCUAAUACCGGAUAGGAGCUCCUGCUGCAUGGUGGGGGUUGGAAAGUUUCGGCAGUUGGGGAUGGACUCGCGGCUUAUCAGCUUGUUGGUGGGGUAGUGGCUUACCAAGGCUUUGACGGGUAGCCGGCCUGAGAGGGUGACCGGCCACAUUGGGACUGAGAUACGGCCCAGACUCCUACGGGAGGCAGCAGUGGGGAAUAUUGCACAAUGGGCGGAAGCCUGAUGCAGCAACGCCGCGUGCGGGAUGAAGGCCUUCGGGUUGUAAACCGCUUUCGCCUGUGACGAAGCGUGAGUGACGGUAAUGGGUAAAGAAGCACCGGCUAACUACGUG